Molecule: transfer RNA, 61 nt
Filed under: Nodularia douglasiae
Lineage: Eukaryota; Metazoa; Mollusca; Bivalvia; Unionida; Unionidae
Description: tRNA-Thr
Source: RNAcentral
GCCCCGAGAAGCUAAUUUAGCAGUGGUUUUGUAAACCUCAGAAGGCCUACACCCCGAGGCU